GACGAACGCUGGCGGCGUGCUUAACACAUGCCAGUCGAACGGAAAGGCCCUGCUUGCAGGGUACUCGAGUGGCGAACGGGUGAGUAACACGUGGGUGAUCUGCCCUGCACUUCGGGAUAAGCCUGGGAAACUGGGUCUAAUACCGGAUAGGAGCCAUUUUUAGUGUGAUGGUUGGAAAGUUUUUUCGGUGUAGGAUGAGCUCGCGGCCUAUCAGCUUGUUGGUGGGGUAAUGGCCUACCAAGGCGGCGACGGGUAGCCGGCCUGAGAGGGUGGACGGCCACAUUGGGACUGAGAUACGGCCCAGACUCCUACGGGAGGCAGCAGUGGGGAAUAUUGCACAAGGGGCGCAAGCCUGAUACAGCGACGCCGCGUGGGGGAUGACGGCCUUCGGGUUGUAAACUCCUUUCGCUAGGGACGAAGCUUUUUGUGACGGUACCUAGAUAAGAAGCACCGGCUAACUACGUG
RNAcentral lists this ribosomal RNA (465 nucleotides) under uncultured bacterium. RNAcentral describes it as "partial 16S ribosomal RNA". It matches the Rfam family "Bacterial small subunit ribosomal RNA", at positions 28 to 507 of the family's 1533-position model. The record is from RNAcentral.